CAGUCGCCACGGUAAUACGUAGGUGGCAAGCGUUGUCCGGAAUUAUUGGGCGUAAAGGGCUCGCAGGCGGUUUCUUAAGUCUGAUGUGAAAGCCCCCGGCUCAACCGGGGAGGGUCAUUGGAAACUGGGAAACUUGAGUGCAGAAGAGGAGAGUGGAAUUCCACGUGUAGCGGUGAAAUGCGUAGAGAUGUGGAGGAGCACCAGUGGCGAAGGCGACUCUCUGGUCUGUAACUGACGCUGAGGAGCGAAAGCGUGGGGAGCGAACAGGAUUAGAUACCCCAGUAGUCCCUGUCUCUUAUAC
This 301-nucleotide ribosomal RNA is filed under the name uncultured bacterium. Its description in RNAcentral is "partial 16S ribosomal RNA". It matches the Rfam family "Bacterial small subunit ribosomal RNA", at positions 509 to 807 of the family's 1533-position model. The record is from RNAcentral.